Alligator mississippiensis (American alligator) is the source of this 1424-nucleotide long non-coding RNA. RefSeq lists it as uncharacterized. The record is from RefSeq and is a predicted model, not a curated record. Lineage: Eukaryota; Metazoa; Chordata; Crocodylia; Alligatoridae. The transcript has 3 exons.
GCGCUCCCCGCUCCCUGCUCGCUCCCUCGCCUGUCGGAUGGAUGAAAAGUAACCCCUCCCCUCUCCUCUCCAUGCAAGUACUAGCAGUGGCCGUGAAGUCCUUUCGCUCUGGAGUUUGAGAUCUUAGCAGGUGACUCCCAUCAGCUUGCUUUGGCCAUAACAAGUGUCACCUGCUGUAGGCUUGGGGUUGCCAUCAUGGGUCCUGCGGUCGGAGGCAAGGUGACCCAUUUGCCCAAGUACUGCGAAUGAGCCCGGGGAUGUUCACCAGGGGGCUGGAAAAUAUCUGGGGAAUAGCUGGGAGAGGAGUCGGAGCUGUGCAUCAUUCCAGCGACUGAGAGCAGGUCGCCCAACACCAGCGUAAUAGGCAAGAAAGAAAAUUGUUCACCAGUUUCUGCAGCUUAAGCAAUAACUGUCUACUUGACACAGUAAUAAUCAUAGAAAACUUCAGAGGAAGAGAUAAUCAAUAAAGAGAUUGAAAAGGAAAUGAUCAAACUGAUCAGAAGAACUUACAAAAGGCAACGAAGAUGCAGUGAAAGACGCACCUAAAUUCCUCCAGAUAAGGGUGACAGGAUUAAGACAACUUCCCCAGUCUCAUUUGCAUCAGAGAUGGGAAAGGGAGGCACCUCCAUUAGUAUUCAGGAUGGAGAACAAAGAUUCCAAGGCAGGGACCACACUGAAAUCUGGGACCAGAGAAGCAGGGGAGCACUUCUUCAUGAUGGGGAAUCCCUGCUCCAAAUGCUAAUCAACCCAUGUCUGCACACACCCAGCUCAGCAUGUAUCAGACCAAUUCUAGUAGUGACUCCUUUAUUGGUACUCAAAACACUGAAUCCUGUCUGUCUGCAUUGUGAGCUUCCUCAGAGCAAUGCCACCCAUAGCCAGGAGUGAUCAGUUCCUAUCAUCCAGCAUAUGAGCCAUUGUUUACCCAGAAACAAACCUGGUGUUCUGCCUUGAGCCAUUGUUCAUUCCGUACAAAAACCCCUACCCAAGCUCAAGUUUCUGUCCUGGUGCUUGGAUCCAAACACUGCACCAGUUCCUCUUCCCUGCCUGGAACACCUUCACUGAUUUGUGCUGAGGACUCUGCCUGUCUGCAAGCUCCAACAAACACCUGGGAACCUUGACUGGUUCUAGCUUCAUUGAGUGAGGCCCUAACUCUCCCCACCUCCCGCCUCCCCUUCUCACCUACUUUCUAAACUUCAGACUUGGUUUAAUGUCUCUCUCUCUCUCUCUCUCUCUCUCUCCUACUCUAAGCACAGCUUUCUAAACCUGACUUUUGUUGUUCAAAUUAGCUAGACUUCCCCAAAUACCCAAUUGAAACUGUGUAAUAUUGUAACUGCUUUGUUUGUUUGUCUCUUCUUGUAUGGCUAUUACUACAAGUGUCAUUAUAAAUUUCAUGUACCUGGCAAUAAAAUAACUGUUAUGGUCAA